Molecule: ribosomal RNA, 491 nt
Filed under: uncultured bacterium
Lineage: Bacteria
Description: partial 16S ribosomal RNA
Rfam family: Bacterial small subunit ribosomal RNA
Source: RNAcentral
AGUGAACGCUGGCGGUAGGCCUAACACAUGCAAGUCGAACGGCAGCACAGUAAGAGCUUGCUCUUACGGGUGGCGAGUGGCGGACGGGUGAGGAAUACAUCGGAAUCUACUUUUUCGUGGGGGAUAACGUAGGGAAACUUACGCUAAUACCGCAUACGACCUACGGGUGAAAGCAGGGGAUCUUCGGACCUUGCGCGAUUGAAUGAGCCGAUGUCGGAUUAGCUAGUUGGCGGGGUAAAGGCCCACCAAGGCGACGAUCCGUAGCUGGUCUGAGAGGAUGAUCGGCACAACUGAACCUAGAACACGGUCAGACCUCCAAGGGAGGGCAGAGGUGGGAAUUUUUGGCAAUUGGCGGAAGCCUGAAUCAGGCAAACCGGGUUGGUGAAGGAGGGCCUUGGGGUGGAAAACCCCUUUUUUUGGAAAGAAAAGCAGCAGGUUAAUACCCCGCUGUUCUGACGGUACCCAAAGAAUAAGCACCGGCUAACUUCGUG